AACGAACGCUGGCGGCAUGCCUAACACAUGCCAGUCGAACGAGACCUUCGGGUCUAGUGGCGCACGGGUGCGUAACGCGUGGGAACCUGCCCUUAGGUUCGGAAUAACUCACCGAAAGGGGUGCUAAUACCGGAUAAUGUCUUCGGACCAAAGAUUUAUCGCCUUUGGAUGGGCCCGGGUUGGAUUAGCUAGUUGGUAGGGUAAAAGCCGACCAAGGCGACGAUGCAUAGCUGGUCUGUGAGGAUGCUCAGCCACACUGGGACUGCGACACGGCCCAGACUCGUACGGGAGACAGCAGUGGGGAAUAUUGGAGAAGGGGCGAAAGCCUGAUCAAGCAAUGCCGCGUGAGUGAUGAAGGCCGUAGGGUUGUAAAGCUCUUUUAGCCGGGAUGAUAAUGACAGUACCGGGAGAAUAAGCUCCGGCUAACUCCGUG
This 433-nucleotide ribosomal RNA is filed under the name uncultured bacterium. RNAcentral's name for it is "partial 16S ribosomal RNA". It matches the Rfam family "Bacterial small subunit ribosomal RNA", at positions 29 to 507 of the family's 1533-position model. The record is from RNAcentral.